GAUGAAGAACGUAGCGAAAUGCGAUAAGUAAUGCGAAUUGCAGAAUUACCGUGAGUCAUCGAAUCUUUGAACGCACAUUGCGCCCACUGGUAUUCCGGUGGGCAUGCCUGUUCGAGCGUCAUUAUCCUCCCUCAAACCCCGGGUUUGGUGUUGGACCCAAGUUGUGUGAACAACUGGUCUCAAAGACAAUGACGGCGUCCGUGGGACCCUCGGUGCAACGAGCUUUUAGGAGCACGCAUCGAGUUGCAAGGACCUUCCGGGCCGGUCUCCUUUACCAUUUUACAAGGUUGACCUCGGAUCAGGUAGGAAUACCCGCUGAACUUAAGCAUAUCAAUAAGCGGAGGA
RNAcentral lists this unclassified non-coding RNA (345 nucleotides) under soil metagenome. Its description in RNAcentral is "partial contains 5.8S ribosomal RNA, internal transcribed spacer 2, and large subunit ribosomal RNA". The stretch from base 1 to 121 matches the Rfam family "5.8S ribosomal RNA", at positions 35 to 154 of the family's 154-position model. The record is from RNAcentral.